GGAUUAGAUACCCUGGUAGUCCACGCCGUAAACGAUGAGUGCUAAGUGUUAGGGGGUUUCCGCCCCUUAGUGCUGCAGCUAACGCAUUAAGCACUCCGCCUGGGGAGUACGGCCGCAAGGCUGAAACUCAAAGGAAUUGACGGGGGCCCGCACAAGCGGUGGAGCAUGCGGAUUAAUUCGAUGCAACGCGAAGAACCUUACCAAGGCUUGACAUGAACCGGAACGGCGCAGAGAUGUGUCGGCCACUUGUGGCCGGUUUACAGGUGGUGCAUGGUUGUCGUCAGCUCGUGUCGUGAGAUGUUGGGUUAAGUCCCGCAACGAGCGCAACCCUUGAUCUUAGUUGCCAGCAUUCAGUUGGGCACUCUAAGGUGACUGCCGGUG
This 381-nucleotide ribosomal RNA is filed under the name uncultured bacterium. Its description in RNAcentral is "bacterial SSU rRNA". It matches the Rfam family "Bacterial small subunit ribosomal RNA", at positions 775 to 1157 of the family's 1533-position model. The record is from RNAcentral.